GUGAACUGUCUUCGGUUGAGGCUGGUGACCUGUGACCUCUCUCACCUUCCACACCAAGGCUGACAUAUGUGGGCACAUGGAAUCCUUCAUCUUCAGUUCUCCCUCUCUCCUAAUGAAGGGAAGAUGCUUCAUCAGGUGGGUCAUUAAUGGGGAUGCACAGGAUAUGUAUCCAGGCUGCUCUCUCCGAGAUGAUAAGCCAGGCAGGACACAUGAUUCUGGGGGUGGGAGGAGGGGAGACUAGCCCCAAGUGUACUGAGCCAUGGUGCAACCUCUGUGGCCCCCUCCUAUUGACAGGCUUGACCUGCCUCUACAACAAUAAGCACUAAAUACCUUUCCCAAAGCAACAUUUUCCUAACCUCUUUUGCAAAACUGAACACUUUCCCUCAACUCCACAUUGCAAUCCUGACUCCAGGGAUGCCCCACAGUAUCACGGACAUCAGGAGCUCACCCAUGGCCAACCAUCCUUCCAGUCUCUCCCCAGUACCAGAGCUGGGCCAAGAGGCAACCUGCUGGCCUCUCGCUGGUAGUAAAAGCCACUUACUGAGUCCUUAGCAUAUGCCAGAUAACACACGGAGGCCUUUGUACUUGUCAUCCCACCUAAAUCUCACAGCAACCCUACCAGGGCAUGCUUUUAUCAUUCUCACAAAUGAAAAUGGAUUUAGAAGCAGAGGCUCAGGGAGUUUUAGAGUCCAGUCCAAGAUCAGACAGGGCCAAGAUUCAACUAAGGCCUAUUCAACCGUCAAGUCCUCUCAGAGCAUGGACUCUGGAGCCAGACUUCCUGGGAUCAAAUCCUGAUUCCUUCCUUGUUAGCCGUUUAAUUUUGCCUUUGGUUUUACCCAUCUGUAAAAUGGGCCAAUAAUCAAAAUCUGCCUCAUAAGACUGUUGUAAGGAUCGAGUAGAUGAAUCUGGGCCUGGCACAGAGUAAAGGCCCUGACAGUGUUUGCUAUUGUUGUAGUUGUUAUUACUAUACUGCCUCUCAAAAAUGGAAUAGAGAGGGCUGGGGUUGUGGCUCAGUGGUAGAGCACUCGCCUAGCAUGUGUGAGGCACUGGGUUCCAUCCUCAGCACCACAUAAAAAUAAAUAAAUAAAAUAAAUUCAUUGUGUCCAUCUACAACUAAAGAUAAAUAUUUAAAAAAAAAAUGGAAUAGAGAAGCAGGAAAAAAGCAAAUAACCAGACAGCCAUCAUUUCCCUUUGCCUCAAGAGAGUUGUCCUGGCCAAGAAACAAGCCUGCUAUCUCCAGGCCACUGCUGGAAUUGAUGCUUUCUUAAUAUCAGUAAAUGGGUCAUUGUGGUGAUCUGAAUUUGCUCCCCUAAAAUUCAUACAUUGAAAUCCUACCUCCCAGUGUGAUAGUAUUAGGAGGUGGGGCCUUUGGGAGUGAUUAGUUCAUGAGGGUGGAGCCCUCAUGAAUGGCACUAGGGCCCUUAUAAAAGACCCCAGAGAGCUCUCUCCAGAGGGCUCCUCCUUUUGCCAUGUGAGGAUACAACAAGAAUUCAGCAGACUGCAACCCAAAAGAGGGCCAUCGCCAGAACCCAACAACACUGGCACCCUGAUCUCUAGCCUCAAAAACUGUGCAAAUAGGGGCUGGGGUUGUGGCUCAGUGGUAGAGCACUCGCUUGACACGUGUGAGGCCCUGGGUUCGAUCCUCGGCACCACAUAAAAAUAAAUAAAAUAAAGGUAUUGUGUCCAACUACAACUAAAAACUAAACAUUUAAGAAAAACUGUGCAAAUAAAUGUCUCUUCUUUAUAAGACACACAUAAGUCUAUGGGGUUUUGUUAGGGAAGCCCAAAUAAACUAAGACAGCCAUAAUCAACAAGCAAAUGAUGGCUUUCAUCAGGACAUAAGUCCAUGCAGUUAAAGACUCUGUCAAUAGCACUGUGAAGGGCUUCUCUUCCAUAGGCCCUGAAGUUGCCUUUUGAGAUGGAGCUCAGGGAAGAUUGGCCAAGCUUAGCUGCUCUUGGUGGGCCUCACAGUGCUCAGGAAACAAAGGACUUAUUGAAGAGAGCAGUAAGAAUGGUAUUGCUGAUAGGACCACAAACCUAGGCUUAUAGCUGAGUCCCUGAUAGAAAUCCUGGGUUCUCGAGGCCUUCAGGAAGGGCAAAGUUUACAGCUGAUCUAGUUUAAGAAGGAGGGGCUCUUACCAGAAUCCCCAAGGACAAGGGAUGCCUGAUUUAGUGGCAAAAAUGUCCACACCUAGCUAGGACUGAUGUCCAAGUGAUAUGCUUCUAGAGUCCUUGCGAAUUUUUAAAAAAUCUAUGUGAACAGUCAUAUGUCUUUAGGAUUAUGGAGUCUUGAUUUGGUUUUAUCAACAUACUUUAUUGCAUACACUAACUAGUAAGAGGCGCUCUUCUCCACACCGUAGUCAUCUACUUAAACUCUUUAGUUUGCAAUGGAGAAAAUGAAGCUCAAAGCCACGCAGCAAAAUCAUAGUAAAGACCUGCAGCCCACACUCCCUGACUCCAGGCUAGUUCCCUACCAUCUGAGACAGAAGAUGAUGUUUGAAAAGUCUUCCCAAACAAAUCACUCCUCUCUAUCGCUGGGACAGCAGGUCUCCUUCCUGCAGAUAAUUCUAUCCGUAGAUUAAUUCAGAACUCUCUGGAGCAUGUGUUCUCAGGAGCUGGAGCCCUGCUGGGAUGGGGAGAGAGAAUUCAGGAUGGGUUUUGGGUCUGGACUUGAUAAAAAAAAAAAAAGCUCAAACUAUCCUGCUGAUUCAGAAUGAUCAGGGAAUGGUCUCUCUGAACUAUCUAGUGCUUCUGCUCAUGUUUGGAACUAUGUAAUUAUUCAUGCUUGGAACAUUUAAACAGUAUACCAGAAAAAUACUCAAUUUUAAUUUGAUCUUUCUUCCCAUAGUGCCUCAGUGUCACGAUGAGUCUGAAUUACCACUCUGGAGGACUCAAACGAUGGAGAACAAGGGUUAGCCAUCUUCCCCUUGGCACUAUCUGAGCCCUUGGUUGACUGGAUAGAAGUCACCCUGUUGAUAGGACACCACAGGGCCUAUGAGUUAUGCCCUGAAUUCUUUCAGCAAGGCCAAAGACAUGCUAUGGCCACUCGGUUCUUGUCACUUCAUUUAAGAGCAUGAAUGCUGAGGACCAGAGGCAGAAGCCAACCAACUGAUUCAACUGGCAGCCAAACACAAAGUCACUUGUUUCUUGGUUCAAGAAAAUUAUUUUUAAAAAAUUCAACAUCCAGUUAUAGCUUAAAUUAUUAUCUUUUUUGAAUAGACAAUGAAAUAAAACACACUGCAGAGUACUUAGAAAAACAUGCUGAGAAAAGCAAAAGACAGAGGCUUUGGUGAAAAACUUUUGAACUUACUACUUUAAACCAAAGUUUAGUGUUUUUAAAUUUCUCACUUACUUUUAAAGAUACAAAUUAAGAUUUUUCUGCAUUCAGGUUGGUUCUGCUAGUCCCUGUUCCACAGUCUUACUCCUCUUAUCCUCUUAAGAGUAGUAUUUUGCAUUUUGUUUCAAGUACUUAUUAACACCUUUUUCUUUGUCAGGAAUUAUGCCAGGUAUAGAGGUGACUGUAGAAUAAGAAACAGCUCUGCCUCUGGGGACAGACACUGAGACUAAACUCUCAAACAUGUUCUCAUCCUCUCUGUUAAAUUCCUUCUUAUGAUAUCACCAGUCUGAGCUUUAUAGAUGAUCUUCUUACACGUCAUAUGGUCUCUGCACAUUCAACAAUGAGCCUUACUUAGCUUUUUUUAAGAUAUGCUAAACUCUAAAAACUCCUGCUGGGCUUGUUUUCUUNAGACUAAACUCUCAAACAUGUUCUCAUCCUCUCUGUUAAAUUCCUUCUUAUGAUAUAGCUUUUUUUAAGAUAUGCUAAACUCUAAAAACUCCUGCUGGGCUUGUUUUCUUUAUCUGGUUCUUUUUCUUGGGUUCUUUCCUGGGUGCUACGUAUCAGUCUGGCAUCGUGAAGAGCUAAAGUAAGAAGGAUUAGCUCACCUCCGAUUCCCCUUGCUGCACUCUGUGGUCAGGGUUUUGUUGGGUACCAUUUCCUCUAAAUUUAUUCUAGUCCAUUUACCCCUAGAUUGUUUUUUCCCACAUUAAUAAAUCAUCAUUAUUAUCCACUGAGGCAUUAUUUUUAAUAAUUAAAUAACAGAAACGUAAUCUGUAUCUACAUCUGUAAGGAGUUAGUUAAAUAAAUUAUAAAAUCCUCUCCAGCCUUUAAGAAGGAUGAGAUCCGAAUGAGCACAUAUCUAUGGCACAUUGUCAAAUUAAACCAACAAACAUGUUGCAGAACAACAUAUAUUGUAUGAUCUCAUUUAAAAAAUGCACAUGUGAAUCUGUAUAACAUAUGUAUCUGAAUAUAUGUAUUUAUAUAUGUAUAUACACAUACAUAAGAAGUAUAUUUUAUCUGAGUGGAAAAAGUCUUAGGAGAAACUAACAAUGGGAAAUCUAUCAAGUAAGUUGGGGAAGGGGCACAUAAAAGGAAAGUCACUCUAACUCUAUGUUAUUGACUGUUUUGACCUAAUAGAUACUCCUUUUUAAAUGAAGGAAUAAGUAGACAGAAGAGAUAUAUAUUUAUUUUCCUAGACAUUUCAAGACUAUUAAGUCUAGAAUUCCACAGAUAUUGACUUUUCAUUAGUUUUUUUAAAUAUUUAUUUUUUAGUUGUAGUUGAACACAAUACCUUUAUUUUAUUUAUUUGUUUUUAUGUGGUACUGGGGAUUGAACCCAGGGCCUCACACAUGCUAGGCGAGUACUCUACCGCUAAGCCACAACCCCAGCCCAGACUUUUUAUUAGUUUUGUUGAUAAACUUAUUAACAAAGUUUGGGUUUAAAGGCAUCUACCACCAUGAGGCCCAGUGGUCCCCUCCUGUAAUCCCAGCAACUCAGAAGGCUGAGGUAGGAGCAUCACAAGUUUGAGAGCAACCUCAGCAACUUAGUGAGAACCUGUCUCAAAAUAAUAAAAAAUAAAAAGGGCUGGGGAUGUAACUAGUGGUAGAACACCCCUGGGUUCAAUCCCCAGUACCAAAAAUAAAUAAAUAACCAACAAACAAAAAGCAUCUCUUGCCUCUGAUAGGGUGUUAGCACCAUAUUCUUGGCCUCUGCAAAGUGUGUUUCCUGCAAUCUCAUUAUACAUGUUUCUGGAAAUCUUGGUCACAUGAAGGACAUGGCCCUGGAAAGUUUAUUUACUAACAAAUAAAUAAAUACUGAAAGGAAGCCAGAGAGGUAUCAUUUUAAUCUCACAGGCUGGGAAACUGAGGCACCAAAGGUUGAUCAGGCAUGUCAAGGUCACCUAGCAAGUUAAAUGUGAUGAGGUAUGGAUAGACAAGGUUUUGAGUAUCAAAAUCUGGUGUCCCAGGUUCAAGCUCUUACCAUGUUACUUUGUUUUUUUUUUAAGUAAUCUUUUUAAAAUUUCCUGAGCCCCAGUUUCCCUUUCAGUACAAUAAGUAUUAUAAUAUCUGUCUCUUAGAACAGUGCUAUUACAUGAGAGUACGUAAUUUUAUGCAUAUCAUAAAACACUAAAUAUUCGAUAGAAGGACCAACAACCAGGAAACUAAGAAUUAAUAUUUAUUAUGUGGCGGCUGGUUCUACAACAAGAUUUAUGCUUGUUUAAUUUUCUUAUGCUCCAAACAAAAAAUUUAAAAUGUCUUUCCAGUCUUUUAGAAGCUGUCCCUUCAAUAUGAAUGUUCCUGUUCUUCACGAUCAACCUUAAUUUUGUUUUUCUAUAUCCUAAAUAUUUCUGCAAAUGGGUUUAAAAUGAGGCACAAAAGUAUCAGUUCCGUGGAGAAGACAACUAGGCUUUACCAGAAUGCCAUGCCAAAUUGACUAGUACUCUGAAAGCAGAUGAAAGUUGUUUGAAAUGCUUCAAAGAGGAAGAAAAAUCUAAUCCCCCAAGGCUUCCUUUAAAUCCAUAUUCCUUAAUUUCAGAAAAAGUCCCAAGUCUUUGAAAAGUCCCAAAUAUCGUUUUACAGUUUGGAAGUCGUAAUGGAGAACAUUUAAAAAAAAAUUUUUUUUUUUUUACAACAUUCUUCCUUUCUUAAAGAGCUCAGUAAAUCUGAGUUUCCUUCACAAAGGCCCAAGUGGACGAUGACCCUCCUGUCUUGGGAGCUGGGGGUACAUGGACAUCCCCAGGGCUCUGAGCCUAGAGUUCAAGGCUAAUGACUACCUGGAGAAUUCCUUAAAGAAGCAGAGUCAGGCAUUUUCCCUGUUAUUUCUGGGCGAGAUUUGCAUGUCUGUCAUUGUGUGGAAGAACGCCCAGUCCCUCCACUAUGCAACACGGAAGAAAGAAAGUUUCCAAGUGAAAAGCAAAACAAGGCCAGUUGCAAUAGAAGCAAAUGAGACCAAUUUCCCGCUUCAGAAAACAAUUCUUGUGAAGCUGCUUUCAUCUGCUCAAAGAAGCNCUGGAAAAGUCUAUUUGAAGUGUCUCUUUAAAUCUUCCCAAUUGCCUGGAGGCACAUAACUGUUUAUUAUUAGCCCUAUUUUACAUAUGAGAAGGUUGAGUUGGAGACUGGCUCAUUGAGCUGCCUGCUGUCCUAGCUGGAUUCAAACCCAGAUCUUUCUGACUGAAAUCUGUGCUUAACCAGAACGAUGCAGAAUUGAAAUGCAAUCCAAGGCAGUGAAGGGAGAGAGCCUAUGUCAAACCUGUAGGUUGGACCUCAGUUGUGGAAUUGCAUUAUAAUUAACUCCUGUGUCCCAGCUAAAUGGUUUACAUGCAUGGUCUCAUUUAAUGUUUCCCAGCAUAUUUAAAUGGUAAACGCUAUCCUGACCCUGGAAAUACUUUGUCUCCUCUAUCAGAUGCUUCUUUUUCCCCCCUUCCUCCUCCCUCUGCAGCUUGGAGGCAAUGAGUGCAUUCAGCCUGGCCUAGGAUACAAAGUGAGUAGUCAAGGAAGAUCUGAGUAGUGUCUUUUAGGUGUCUUCUGUAUUGGUGUGAGAAGUUACAAGUGUCCCUCUCUGCUCUCCAUCUUCACGACAUCUCCCUGUGCACACAGUGCCAGAACAGUGACCUCAGACCACAGCUCCAAUGCUGAUUACAAGUAAUCCCGCUCCAGAGUGUCCUUUCUUUCAAAAAAGGAGAUAAAAAUAGCAAAGAAACAACACUUUCCUUAGUUCUCUGAAAGGUUGGCAUCCUUCCAGGAUAGACUUAUGUACUUUUUGUACUUGGAGGAAAAAAAGAGAUGGGAUUUGGUCCAAGAAUAGUCCUACAAACCAGAGAAAUAUAGAGCAGGCAGCUGGAGUAGAGCAGCCAAGUGGUACCACCAGCUGCCCAUUAAUUAACGUUCCCUGGUAUGUAGCGGUUCCCGUGACCUCGAUUCUUGUUGAAUUCACAGAGAUAAUUUUUACAGAGCCUCUACUUUUCUCACUGCAGUAUAUUUAUCCAAGGAGUACCUCGCAUAUUUCCCCUCAUCUCUCCAAGCAGUAAAUUUAUUCUAAUUGCAAAGAGAUAUAGUAAAAGCCUGAUUGAACACUUGGCAGUUUAUACAGAUUUAUUCCAGGGGCUUAAGGGGGUUUUUAGAGUGUGUGACUAGAGUAGGGUUGAGGGGAGCUGGGGAAAGGAGCCCAAGAGAAAAUGUAGAUUUAAUGGAUCUAUAAAAUGACCCUGCCAUAGAUAAAUGCUUGUUCCAAAGAAGUUUAAACAGCCUGACCCAAACGAGAGUCUGUGACAGCUAGUCGGACACGAGGUGUCUGUAGCAUUGCAUAUUUCUCUUUGGAUUUUCAGGUUUCCAUAUGAAAUUUGUUAUUCCCCAGGCAGCGGGAGGGUGUGGAAUCUGUUUUCCAGAGGGAGGGAAGCAUAUUUAACUGCACAUUUCCAAGCACUAAAAGCUAUGAACAGAGGCAAAAAGUAAACUUCCAGCACCUGCCCUGAAAAUCACUGCUGUCUCUCUAACUCCCCAAGGGCUAAAGGCGGAAUUUCAAGCCUAGGAUCCUGGAAGACAGGUCACAAGAACCUGCCCUUGGUCCUGGAGAAUUCUGAACAAGAAUGGGGAGUCUUCUGAAGCCCAGGUAUCCCAGGCACUUCCAGUGGAUAAUGAGACAGAUUCUAACCCCCGAUGGGGCUUCCGCUCAGAACAGGCUAUGCGUGCGCAUGCUACUGAACUUUUCCCCGAAAACCUAGGCUUUUGAUCCCAGGAGUGACAUUCAUCAUUUUUGCAGCUGCUUUGCAAGUUCUGCUGAGGAUGAAUUUUAGGACUUUCAACUGUUAAAUUGGUUAUAUUGUAAAUCUAAUCAGGCACUAAAAUUGGAGACAUUUGUUCGGAGAAAGAGGCAAAAUAGAAAAGUGUCCCUAAGCAGAUGCUGGUAGAGAGGAAGGCCAGAGGGUGAACGCACUGGUCUCUUUGGUUAGAGGCUAAUAGGGGAUCAUGUCAGCAGUUUGUGGAUUCCCUCUCUUUUGUUUUUUUUCAGGAAUUGGCAGGAGACCUUGGGUGAAAAUGUUAAACUUUUUUUUUUAAGUUGUAUAUGGACUCAAUGCCUUUAUUUGUUUUUAUGUAGUGCUAGGAUCGAACCCUAUGCCUCAUACUUGCGAGGCAAGUGCUGUUCCACUGAGCUACAACUCCAGCCCAAAAUGUUAAACUUUUUGAUUAUGAAAUAAAGCACUCAUACAGAAAAACAAUGCAGUUUAACAGAUUGUGAUAAAGUUAACAACCAUGUCAGGAAGUAUAAUGUUGGAACCUGGCAUGGUGGCUCAUCCCUGUAAUCCCAGCUACUUGAGAGGUUGAGACAGGAGGAUCGCAAGUUCAAGGCCAACCUGGGCAAUUUAGUGAGAUUCUGUCUCAAAAUAAAGAUAGAAUGGGGUGGGGUGGGGUGCAUAGCUGGUAGAGAACUUGCCUAGCAAGUGUGAGUUCCUGGGUUCAAUCCCCAGUACCCACCUCAUAUGUCCAUAAGGUAUAAUGUGCAGAACCAUUAUCUGAACUGUUAAAGAUAUCAAUUCCUUGCUUAAAAAAAUUAUUUAGCUCCUAACCUGAGAGCUCCAAACCCUGUUUAAGAAGGGUUAAUAUUACCUGUUUUUGAACUUUUUAUAAAUGGCACUAAUGCAUUUUUCUUUUGUGUAUGGCUUCUCUUGCUCCACUUGGUGAGAAUUAUACACCUUAUCUGUAACCACAACUCACAUUCAUUUCUGUAUGAUAUUUUUUAUUUGCCCAUGUACUGCUGAUGGACACUCAGGUAAUUUUCAGAAUGGGGAUGUUACUAAUAAAGCUGGGAGAAGCAUUCUUUUGCACACAUGUGAAUGUAUAUGGGAUUUUGCUCUGCCUGCCUGGUUGAGGUCACACAAUCCUAUUUAAGCCCAAUUUGAAUCAGGGCAAGUCCUAAAUUUAAGGGAAAAAUCAGCAAUUUUUUUUCACUUGUUCACUCAUUCAAUAAUAAAUACAAAUCAAACUUCAGAUAUGAUGAGUCAAUUGUUAAAAAAAAAAAAAAACUCUCUCCACUGGUUGGAUCUGUUUUCUGGCAGAGUCCUGACUCAUACAGGUAACAUGCUAUUUUCAUAGGCUUGCUUGGUAGCACAGGAACAAAAAUUUUCUCAAGCUAAUUUAAGUAAAGGGGAAAGUUUGUGUUUUAAAAUUUUUUUUAGUUGUUGAUGGACCUUUAUUUUAAUUAUUUAUGUGUGCCACUGAGAAUCAAACCCAGUGCCUUACACAUGCUACACAAGAGCUCUAUUUAAAUAAAGGGGAAACUUUUUAAGGAAAUAUUUCCAGUCUUCAAUAUUAACUUCCUUGAUACCAAGUCAUUAUAGCACUAUCUGUAUUUCAGAUAUUUUUCCAAAUUAAAAGUACUCUGGGUGGGUGCACAGUUUCUUCUUCUUCAGGGAUUGGAGCUCUCAGGCAAAGAAAGCUUGCUGAGGUUUGGAUAUGGUUGACUCCCAAGAUUUAUGUGUGGGAGACUUGGUCCUCAGUGUGGCAGUAUCAUGGUGGUGUGCCUUUAAGGGGUGGGUCCUAAUGGGAGGUCCUUAGGUCAUUUGGAGGUUGUGCCUUCAGAAGUGAUUGUGGAACUCCAACUUUUCUAGCUUCGUAUUUUGGACCAAGUGUGCUGCUGCCAUCCACCAUGAGGUCAUCAAUAGAGCCCAGCUGAUGCUGGCAUCAUGACCUUGAUUCUCCAGAACUGUGAGCUAAAUAAACCUCUUUACUUUAUAAAGUCAGCCUGGCUUGGGUGUUUUCUUAUGGUUAUGCAGAAUGGACUCACAAAAAACUAAAGCAAAG
RNAcentral lists this long non-coding RNA (10134 nucleotides) under Marmota monax (woodchuck). The stretch from base 1584 to 1652 matches the Rfam family "tRNA". Lineage: Eukaryota; Metazoa; Chordata; Mammalia; Rodentia; Sciuridae. The record is from RNAcentral.